This 1058-nucleotide long non-coding RNA is filed under the name Mus musculus (house mouse). Its description in RNAcentral is "long non-coding RNA chr7:126475194-126476252". Lineage: Eukaryota; Metazoa; Chordata; Mammalia; Rodentia; Muridae. The record is from RNAcentral.
ACUUCCGCCAUCGUUCUCGGCGCCGAGGUUUUCAGGAGCUACGCCAACACAGGUCUCACUAAGCUCCCGUGGCUUCGGCAGUUGUACCUAAAAGGAACCACUGAGGCAGCUGUGGGAAGGCGUUGGGUCCGUCAUCCGAAGCAAAUUCUAGACAAAGGCGAGAAGUUAACCAUAGAGAAGCCACUUGAGCGGAGAGAGUAGCCGCCCACUAAAAGAAAUCAGCGAGAUGAUAAAGCUCUUUGAAGAGCUGGCUGCAGCCUAGAGCGCCUGGCCCUGCAUCGAGGGGUACACGGACACCGCCCCCAGGGAUCUGGCGAGCGAUGUAGCGGUGACCUUGGGAGGCCGAGUGGAGUGGGCGGAGCCUGAACUUAACGACCUUGGUCUUUUAGGGGAAAGGGACAAGGUGGUCCUGGAGGGCUCUACCUUAGACGGGAACUAAAGUUGGGACAGCAAUAGUGAGGUCAGUUUUGGACAUGCUUGCGGGUCAUCAGUAGGUACAUAGAGAUAGAGCUUGAAGUUCAAGAGAGGCUUCAGGGCAAGUUAGAGGGAUGACGAAGUAAGGUACAAAGUGCUGUUGAGACCUUGCGCACAAAUACCUUCUAGCAACCCAAGCUCGCAUUGAUCCAGCGUCACUACAGCUGAAGUAAUUGAAAAGGCCAGAGUAGAUUGGGAUCAUUGACAGGGCCCAAAAGAUUAUGUCUAUAGCUUGUCAUCUGUGAUUGUACUCUACUCGUGCGGUCGGUCGCUUUCACCCACAGAGGGGCUCUAGUCUUCUUGGUGUGGCAAGAUGGUUUUCCAUAGAUUCAAAUUUAAAUCCUAAUAGUUAAGCAACUCAGUGUAAGGAGUAUCACUCUUUCUAAGAUCAUCAAUAAAAUUUUCAGAAUUAGGCUAGUGAGAUGCCUUUUCAGUAAAAGUGCUUGUGUUUUCUAUGCAAACCUGAUUAGCCAGAAUUCCCUCCCCAUAACCCACUGUGGAAAGAGAAAGGAUGUUGGAAAGUUGGCUUCUGACUUAGAACAUGGCACACACACCACACAUGUGUGAUACCCCCCCCCCAUCAC